RNAcentral lists this ribosomal RNA (490 nucleotides) under uncultured bacterium. RNAcentral's name for it is "bacterial SSU rRNA". It matches the Rfam family "Bacterial small subunit ribosomal RNA", at positions 28 to 507 of the family's 1533-position model. The record is from RNAcentral.
GAUGAACGCUAGCGAUAGGCCUAACACAUGCAAGUCGAGGGGCAUCACAUGAAGCAGCAAUGCGGAUGGUGGCGACCGGCGCACGGGUGAGUAACACGUAUGCAACCUGCCUACAACAGGGGGAUAACCCGUUGAAAGACGGACUAAUACCCCAUAAUACAGGGGUCCCGCAUGGGAAUAUUUGUUAAAGAUUCAUCGGUUGUAGAUGAGCAUGCGUUCCAUUAGCUAGUUGGUGAGGUAACGGCCCACCAAGGCAACGAUGGAUAGGGGAACUGAGAGGUUUAUCCCCCACACUGGUACUGAGAUACGGACCAGACUCCUACGGGAGGCAGCAGUGAGGAAUAUUGGUCAAUGGACGCAAGUCUGAACCAGCCACGUCGCGUGAAGGAAGACGGCCCUACGGGUUGUAAACUUCUUUUGUAAGGGAAUAAAGUGAGUCACGCGUGACUUUUUGCAUGUACCUUACGAAUAAGGAUCGGCUAACUCCGUG